GCUGGGUGUGGUGGUGUGUGCCUGUAGGCCCAGCUACUCAGGAGGCUGAGGCAGGAGGAUCGCUUGAGCCCGGGAGUUCAAGGCUGCAGUAAGCUAUGAUCGCAUCACUGCACUUCAGCCUGGGCAAUAAAAUGAGACCCUGUCUCUU
This is an unclassified non-coding RNA of Pongo abelii (Sumatran orangutan), 148 nucleotides long. It matches the Rfam family "Metazoan signal recognition particle RNA". From Rfam's summary of the family: The signal recognition particle (SRP) is a universally conserved ribonucleoprotein. It is involved in the co-translational targeting of proteins to membranes. NCBI's taxonomy places the organism in Eukaryota, Metazoa, Chordata, Mammalia, Primates, Hominidae. The record is from Ensembl.